Molecule: ribosomal RNA, 164 nt
Filed under: Staphylococcus aureus
Lineage: Bacteria; Bacillati; Bacillota; Bacilli; Caryophanales; Staphylococcaceae
Source: RNAcentral
UGGUAGCCAAAAAAAAAAGGAGGUCACACCUGUUCCCAUGCCGAACACAGAAGUUAAAGGUCUCUUUUUUUAUGUCUGAAGUUACAUAGUAAAAAGCAAACACAAAGAUCUUAGCGACGAUGGUAGCCAACUUACGUUCCGCUAGAGUAGAACGUUGCCAGGCA